GACGAACGCUGGCGGCGUGCCUAAUACAUGCAAGUAGAACGCACAGUUUAUACCGUAGCUUGCUACACCAUAAACUGUGAGUUGCGAACGGGUGAGUAACGCGUAGGUAACCUGCCUGGUAGCGGGGGAUAACUAUUGGAAACGAUAGCUAAUACCGCAUAAUAUUGAUUAUUGCAUGAUAAUUGAUUGAAAGAUGCUAUUGCAUCACUACCAGAUGGACCUGCGUUGUAUUAGCUAGUAGGUGAGGUAACGGCUCACCUAGGCGACGAUACAUAGCCGACCUGAGAGGGUGAUCGGCCACACUGGGACUGAGACACGGCCCAGACUCCUACGGAAGGCAGCAGUAGGGAAUCUUCGGCAAUGGACGAAAGUCUGACCGAGCAACGCCGCGUGAGUGAAGAAGGUUUUCGGAUCGUAAAGCUCUGUUGUAAGAGAAGAACGGGUGUGAGAGUGGAAAGUUCACACUGUGACGGUAUCUUACCAGAAAGGGACGGCUAACUACGUG
This 505-nucleotide ribosomal RNA is filed under the name uncultured bacterium. RNAcentral's name for it is "partial 16S ribosomal RNA". It matches the Rfam family "Bacterial small subunit ribosomal RNA", at positions 28 to 507 of the family's 1533-position model. The record is from RNAcentral.